Molecule: non-coding RNA, 84 nt
Organism: Pelobates cultripes (western spadefoot toad)
Lineage: Eukaryota; Metazoa; Chordata; Amphibia; Anura; Pelobatidae
Source: the annotation of a GenBank genome assembly
UGUGUAUGUGUGUAUGUGUGUGUGUGUGUGUGUAUAUAUAUAUAUAUAUAUACACACACACACACACACAUACAUAUACACGCG